RNAcentral lists this ribosomal RNA (362 nucleotides) under uncultured Nitrososphaera sp. Its description in RNAcentral is "bacterial SSU rRNA". It matches the Rfam family "Archaeal small subunit ribosomal RNA", at positions 106 to 470 of the family's 1478-position model. Lineage: Archaea; Thermoproteati; Nitrososphaerota; Nitrososphaeria; Nitrososphaerales; Nitrososphaeraceae. The record is from RNAcentral.
AACAUGCCCAGGGGACGUGGAUAACCUCGGGAAACUGAGGAUAAACCGCGAUAGGCCAUGAUUUCUGGAAUGGUUCAUGGCCGAAAUCUAUAUGGCCCCUGGAUUGGACUGCGGCCGAUCAGGCUGUUGGUGAGGUAAUGGCCCACCAAACCUGUAACCGGUACGGGCUCUGAGAGGAGGAGCCCGGAGAUGGGCACUGAGACAAGGGCCCAGGCCCUAUGGGGCGCAGCAGGCGCGAAAUCUCUGCAAUAGGCGAAAGCUUGACAGGGUUACUCUGAGUGAUUCCCGCUAAGGGGAUCUUUUGGCACCUUUAAAAAUGGUGCAGAAUAAGGGGUGGGCAAGUCUGGUGCCAGCAGCCGCGG